GUGGGGAAUCUUCCGCAAUGGACGAAAGUCUGACGGAGCAACGCCGCGUGAGUGAUGAAGGUCUUCGGAUUGUAAAGCUCUGUUAAUCGGGACGAAAGAGCCUAGUGUGAAUAAUGCUAGGAAGUGACGGUACCGGAAUAGAAAGCCACGGCUAACUACGUGCCAGCAGCCGCGGUAAUACGUAGGUGGCAAGCGUUGUCCGGACUUAUUGGGCGUAACGCGCGCGCAGGCGGAUCUGCCAGUCUGUCUUAAAAGUUCGGGGCUUAACCCCGUGAUGGGAUGGAAACUACAGAUAUAGAGUAUCGGAGAGGAAAGUGGAAUUCCUAGUGUAGCGGUGAAAUGCGUAGAUAUUAGGAAGAACACCAGUGGCGAAGGCGACUUUCUGGACGAAAACUGACGCUGAGGCGCGAAAGCCAGGGGAGCGAACGGGAUUAGAAACCCCAGUAGUCC
Molecule: ribosomal RNA, 450 nt
Filed under: uncultured bacterium
Lineage: Bacteria
Description: partial 16S ribosomal RNA
Rfam family: Bacterial small subunit ribosomal RNA
Source: RNAcentral